This 274-nucleotide ribosomal RNA is filed under the name uncultured bacterium. RNAcentral's name for it is "partial 16S ribosomal RNA". It matches the Rfam family "Bacterial small subunit ribosomal RNA", at positions 523 to 796 of the family's 1533-position model. The record is from RNAcentral.
AUACGGAGGGGGCUAGCGUUGUUCGGAAUUACUGGGCGUAAAGCGUACGUAGGCGGACUGAUCAGUUGGGGGUGAAAUCCCAGGGCUUAACCCUGGAACUGCCUUCAAUACUGUCAGUCUUGAGAUUGGAAGAGGUGAGUGGAAUUCCUAGUGUAGAGGUGAAAUUCAUAGAUAUUAGGAGGAACACCAGUGGCGAAGGCGGCUCACUGGUCCAAUACUGACGCUCAGGUACGAAAGCGUGGGGAGCAAACAGGAUUAGAAACCCUAGUAGUCC